GCGGACGUGGCGAAAUCGGUAGACGCUGGGGUCUUAAACACCCUUUCCUCUGGAGUACGGGUUCAAGUCCCGUCGUCCGCACCA
This 84-nucleotide transfer RNA is filed under the name Paracoccaceae bacterium Fryx2. RNAcentral describes it as "tRNA-Leu". It matches the Rfam family "tRNA". Rfam says of the family: Transfer RNA (tRNA) molecules are approximately 80 nucleotides in length. Their secondary structure includes four short double-helical elements and three loops (D, anti-codon, and T loops). Lineage: Bacteria; Pseudomonadati; Pseudomonadota; Alphaproteobacteria; Rhodobacterales; Paracoccaceae. The record is from RNAcentral.